UACGAAGGGGCCUAGCGUUGUUCGGAAUCACUGGGCUUAAAGAGCACGUAGGCGGGUAGGUAAGUGCUUUGUGAAAUCCCACGGCUCAACCGUGGACUUGCUUGGCAAACUGCCUUCCUUGAGGCAGGUAGGGGUGCAUGGAACUCUAGGUGGAGCGGUGAAAUGCGUAGAUAUCUAGAGGAACGCCAGUGGUGAAAACGGUGCACUGGGCCUGUUCUGACGCUGAGGUGCGAGAGCGUGGGGAGCGAACGGGAUUAGAUACCCCGGUAGUCCACGCCGUAAACGAUGUCUACUAGGUCGUGGCGGUUCUGACGCCGGCACGGCCGGAGCUAAAGUGUUAAGUAGACCGCCUGGGGAGUACGGUCGCAAGGCUAAA
RNAcentral lists this ribosomal RNA (376 nucleotides) under uncultured bacterium. Its description in RNAcentral is "bacterial SSU rRNA". It matches the Rfam family "Bacterial small subunit ribosomal RNA", at positions 524 to 898 of the family's 1533-position model. The record is from RNAcentral.